Molecule: ribosomal RNA, 336 nt
Filed under: Paenibacillus lautus
Lineage: Bacteria; Bacillati; Bacillota; Bacilli; Caryophanales; Paenibacillaceae
Description: bacterial SSU rRNA
Rfam family: Bacterial small subunit ribosomal RNA
Source: RNAcentral
GUGGGCACUCUAGAAUGACUGCCGGUGACAAACCGGAGGAAGGCGGGGAUGACGUCAAAUCAUCAUGCCCCUUAUGACUUGGGCUACACACGUACUACAAUGGCUGGUACAACGGGAAGCGAAGCCGCGAGGUGGAGCCAAUCCUAUAAAAGCCAGUCUCAGUUCGGAUUGCAGGCUGCAACUCGCCUGCAUGAAGUCGGAAUUGCUAGUAAUCGCGGAUCAGCAUGCCGCGGUGAAUACGUUCCCGGGUCUUGUACACACCGCCCGUCACACCACGAGAGUUUACAACACCCGAAGUCGGUGGGGUAACCCGCAAGGGAGCCAGCCGCCGAAGGU